CCUACGGGGGGCAGCAGUGAGGAAUAUUGGUCAAUGGACGAGAGUCUGAACCAGCCAAGUAGCGUGAAGGAUGACUGCCCUAUGGGUUGUAAACUUCUUUUAUAUGGGAAUAAAAUGUUCCACGUGUGGGAUUUUGUAUGUACCAUAUGAAUAAGGAUCGGCUAACUCCGUGCCAGCAGCCGCGGUAAUACGGAGGAUCCGAGCGUUAUCCGGAUUUAUUGGGUUUAAAGGGUGCGUAGGUGGAUUGUUAAGUCAGUUGUGAAAGUUUGCGGCUCAACCGUAAAAUUGCAGUUGAAACUGGCAGGCUUGAGUACAGUAGAGGUGGGCGGAAUUCGUGGUGUAGCGGUAAAAUGCUUAGAUAUCACGAAGAACACCGAUUGCGAAGGCAGCUCACUAGACUGCAACUGACACUGAGGCUCGAAAGUGUGGGUAUCAAACAGGAUUAGAUACCCGAGUAGUC
This 460-nucleotide ribosomal RNA is filed under the name uncultured bacterium. RNAcentral describes it as "partial 16S ribosomal RNA". It matches the Rfam family "Bacterial small subunit ribosomal RNA", at positions 338 to 795 of the family's 1533-position model. The record is from RNAcentral.